GGGGUCUUUACAAAGGGGGCUGGUCCGCACGGAGGAAUAGCUUAUAGGCUGGAGGUGGGGAUGCAC
Bison bison bison is the source of this 66-nucleotide microRNA precursor. The record is from Ensembl. NCBI's taxonomy places the organism in Eukaryota, Metazoa, Chordata, Mammalia, Artiodactyla, Bovidae.